This 253-nucleotide ribosomal RNA is filed under the name uncultured bacterium. RNAcentral's name for it is "partial 16S ribosomal RNA". It matches the Rfam family "Bacterial small subunit ribosomal RNA", at positions 524 to 776 of the family's 1533-position model. The record is from RNAcentral.
UACGUAGGGGGCGAGCGUUGUCCGGAUUUAUUGGGCGUAAAGAGCGUGUAGGCGGCCAGGUAGGUCUGCUGUGAAAACUCGAGGCUCAACCUCGAGACGUCGGCGGAAACCAUCUGGCUAGAGUCCGGAAGAGGAGAGUGGAAUUCCUGGUGUAGCGGUGAAAUGCGCAGAUAUCAGGAGGAACACCGGUGGCGAAGGCGGGUCUCUGGGCCUUACCUGACGCUCAGGCGCGAAAGCUAGGGGAGCGAACUGG